Long non-coding RNA from Selaginella moellendorffii, 498 nucleotides. RefSeq lists it as uncharacterized. The transcript has 3 exons. Lineage: Eukaryota; Viridiplantae; Streptophyta; Lycopodiopsida; Selaginellales; Selaginellaceae. The record is from RefSeq and is a predicted model, not a curated record.
GAGCCACGCUUGUGCGACGAAAUCUUAUCAUUCCUUGCCAUCUAAGCUAUAGCUUCCAAUCACUCCAGGAAUCGAACUUUUCUUGCGGGAAACUGUAGAGGAUUCUAUAUGCUUUUUCUUAGCCAGUGGAAAAACUUCCCUGCGAGGGAACGAAAAGCUCCAUGGGGCAUGGAUCGAUUUCCGAGAUUUGUAGCACCAGUUUUUCGAGGCUUUCAAUCCCAGCGAACCAAUUUCUCUGCUAGCCGGCGCAAAGAAUCCAUUUUCAAUACAAGUAGUGAAGACGAGAUUUCUCCGACUAAAGAUUCGUGGCGAGUGGUGCUGGCAUUCCAACUGGAGUUCCAUGUGAAGUUCCAGGCUUAAAAUUCUCCAAGCCAAGUAUUCUACCUUGUCAAUUCUCGUAGUUUUUCUUAAAACGGGGACGAAACGUUAUUGUCCCAACAGCACACCAUGUGAGGUGUUCCACUGGAGCUUAGAUGCUUAAGCACAUGUUUAGAUGUA